GCGACUUUCAAGUACGCGCUCGCGACUUGUGCCCGAUAACUCAUUGUCUCUCAUUUUGCAUUCUACGCGCUCGCGACUUUAAAGUACGCGCUCGCGACUUGUGUUUUCAUGCACUUUGGACUUCUUUUUUAAUGCAAUUGUAUUCCUUUGCUUCACUUAUAUGCCUCCAAUCAUUUUAACACCAAAAUACAGCAUUAAAUCAUGCAUCAAAACAACAUGCAUGCAUACAAAUGAUGUGAUAUCAAAUGAACAUUAUGGAUUAUGAAGUUAUGAACUAUGAAUAUGAUGUUGUGUUAUAUUAUUGACAUACCAACAUUAUGCUCCAUUGAGGUUAGGUAGAA
This 341-nucleotide long non-coding RNA is filed under the name Jatropha curcas. RNAcentral describes it as "long non-coding RNA (JCUR_LNC002382)". The record is from RNAcentral. Lineage: Eukaryota; Viridiplantae; Streptophyta; Magnoliopsida; Malpighiales; Euphorbiaceae.